AUUGAACGCUGGCGGCAUGCCUUACACAUGCAAGUCGAACGGUAACAGGUCUUCGGAUGCUGACGAGUGGCGAACGGGUGAGUAAUACAUCGGAACGUGCCCGAUCGUGGGGGAUAACGAAGCGAAAGCUUUGCUAAUACCGCAUACGAUCUACGGAUGAAAGCAGGGGACCGCAAGGCCUUGCGCGAACGGAGCGGCCGAUGGCAGAUUAGGUAGUUGGUGGGAUAAAAGCUUACCAAGCCGACGAUCUGUAGCUGGUCUGAGAGGACGACCAGCCACACUGGGACUGAGACACGGCCCAGACUCCUACGGGAGGCAGCAGGGGGGAAUUUUGGAAAAUGGGCGAAAGCCUGAUCCAGUCAUGCCGCGUGCAGGAUGAAGGCCUUCGGGUUGUAAACUGCUUUUUUACGGAACGAAAAGACUCUGGUUAAUACCUGGGGUCCAUGACGGUACCGUAAGAAUAAGCACCGGCUAACUACGG
RNAcentral lists this ribosomal RNA (481 nucleotides) under uncultured bacterium. RNAcentral describes it as "partial 16S ribosomal RNA". It matches the Rfam family "Bacterial small subunit ribosomal RNA", at positions 30 to 506 of the family's 1533-position model. The record is from RNAcentral.